AGAGUUUGAUUAUGGCUCAGGACGAACGCUGGCGGCGCGCCUAACACAUGCAAGUCGAACGGAGCUUAGAGAGCUUGCUUUUUAAGCUUAGUGGCGAACGGGUGAGUAACGCGUGAGUAACCUGCCCUAGAGUGGGGGACAACAGUUGGAAACGACUGCUAAUACCGCAUAAGCCCACGGUGCCGCAUGACACUGAGGGAAAAGGAUUUAUUCGCUUUAGGAUGGACUCGCGUCCAAUUAGCUAGUUGGUGAGGUAACGGCCCACCAAGGCGACGAUUGGUAGCCGGACUGAGAGGUUGAACGGCCACAUUGGGACUGAGACACGGCCCAG
RNAcentral lists this ribosomal RNA (331 nucleotides) under uncultured bacterium. RNAcentral describes it as "bacterial SSU rRNA". It matches the Rfam family "Bacterial small subunit ribosomal RNA", at positions 8 to 334 of the family's 1533-position model. The record is from RNAcentral.